This 2011-nucleotide ribosomal RNA is filed under the name Triticum aestivum (bread wheat). Its description in RNAcentral is "partial small subunit ribosomal RNA". Lineage: Eukaryota; Viridiplantae; Streptophyta; Magnoliopsida; Poales; Poaceae. The record is from RNAcentral.
UGACGUUAGCUAAAGUCUUUUUUUUUGAUGUUACUGCGUUGGGGGUUAGGAGUGGCUUUGACGGGGGCGCUAUGGCAGAGCCCGCGAGAGGGACGGCGGCCGUGUUGCGGGAGCAGCAGCGCGAGAAGCAGUCUCGCCGCACGCGACCUUCGGCCUCGGCCCUUCAUCACACCGGUGGUCGCCCUCUGUUCCCCUCCGCACCAGCACGAGAGAGACCAGCCGCUACCUCCGGCGCGCGCUCGGGCGCCGCGCCGCCGAGGGCGAGGGGGAGCGGAGAAGCUCAGAAGCCGGUGUGGCCAAAGGAGGGUUUCGUGCUUCACCCUUGUACACACCGCCGGCGACCGCUUGCUCCGGCGUGCGCUCGGGCGCUGUGCCGCCGCGCCUUCGGAGAAAGGGGACGGCCAAACUUUAGGCGUGGCAGCAGCCGGUCCAUUGACGAGGGGAGGCCAAUCCGGGCCCGAACCCGUACACGUCUACCACGCUCGUUAGUGGUUCGGUAGGCGCUAAGCAACUAGGGAUGCUAAGUGAGAGAUUAAACGUAGCCAGUCAUUUUUUAGGAGGAGAUAUUCCCCUUGUCCAACGAAACAAAACAUAAGGUAGAUUAAACACGAAAUUAAGAAAAACCCGAGAUGAUUAAAAGGUAUACGAGGUCAACUCUCUCGUUCUCUUCCAAUCAUGACGAGGUAAUAGAUGAUUAAGGCCGUUAGUUCCAGUUAUCUCCAAUGUAGUUAGUCCCAGUCAUUAGUCACAAUGACUAAAGUAUCUUCUGUACAUAUCGUCAUGAUGAGGUAGCCGUUCGCAAGCAACGACCUAAAGAAAGUGCGGAUACACCACUACACGCGGACACGGUACCAGCGAGAGGGAGGAUCGGACGAAGAGGUCCAAACUAAAAAAUUCAAAGUACGGAAACACAAAAUAUUCUACAGUAGGGCUUUCAUAAACAUUGUACUUUUUGGUUUCUUUCUCUUCUAAUCGUCCACUCAAAUAUUUAAGAGUUUUCCUUCAGUAACUUCUUUAAAAUCCUGUUUAUAUUCAAGAUUAACCUUGAACUUGGCCGUUACCAUGACUUAGAAGGCAAAUACCUAGGAUACAAAAGAAAAAGAACCAAAGGAAAGGGCUUAUACUUUAGACACCAAACACAUGAAGAAUAUUUGUCUCUACACGACGAGGAAGACGUAUGAAAAUAAGACAAGAAUUCUUAAACUGACAUAAAUUCACAAAAAAAAACGGUCUAGCAACAAAGUACGUCCACGUGAAAAAAGUCUUAGUCCUCGAAAAGACCUGACUUAUUCAUCUCAAUAUCAGUACGACUUCCGACUUUUGCUUCGAUCCUAAGUAUAAAUAGGUUCGUGUGGAAACGGCGAGUCCGUUUCGUAAAAAACGUGUGUCCACUGACCUUAAAAGUCGGUGCAGCCAGCUGUACACGGACUCUUCAUCCACUCUACCUCGAUUGCGACUCUACCUCCGCUGUGACGGACGGCGCCGCAGAGGUUCUACGUCUCGAUCCUGGACCUACCUCCGUCCCGGCUACGUUGAACACCACCGCAGAGGUUCUACUACAAGAUCCUGGACCUGCCUCCGUCCCUUCUGCGUUGAACAGAACCGCAACAGCCGUCUCCUGUACGUCGCCCAACAUCCCAAGACCACCUCCAGCCAAUCUCCCUACUGGCCACCGUCGUCGCCGUUGAGCCCGUCUAGUCCCGCCGCUCCGACGUCUCACCCACAAGCACAAACCACCGCACACGGAUCUCUUUCUUCCACUGUCAGGCAACCUACGUAUUAUACACUCCCACCUCCCUUUUGACUGACUUUUUAUUAGAAAAGUUCGGACUUUAUCAGCGAGAGUUAACAUUGGUAUCUUCGAACCGUGCCAAAACUUUUUGGUCUCAACGGACACACAACAUAUAUCCUGACUCAAAAAAGAACGUUGAAAUUCCGGAAAUAAAACUAGAUAGAACUUCUGGAAACAAGACGUACAGAAGGAUACCCAAAACUUCUUUAUCUCAACACA